AUGCCCAUUCAAGCAGCACAUAUACCAAAAUUCGAAUGAUAUGGAGAAGAUUAGCAUGUCCCUGCAUCAGUAUGACAUACAAAUUUGUGAAGCAUUCUAAACUAUA
This is a small nuclear RNA of Microcebus murinus (gray mouse lemur), 106 nucleotides long. The record is from Ensembl. NCBI's taxonomy places the organism in Eukaryota, Metazoa, Chordata, Mammalia, Primates, Cheirogaleidae.